This is a long non-coding RNA of Haliotis rubra (blacklip abalone), 103 nucleotides long. RefSeq lists it as uncharacterized. NCBI's taxonomy places the organism in Eukaryota, Metazoa, Mollusca, Gastropoda, Lepetellida, Haliotidae. The record is from RefSeq and is a predicted model, not a curated record. The transcript has 3 exons.
UGAAUUCGCAUUUUUGAUCAUUUGCUACUCAAGUAAGUCCAUACCGACAGGUAUCAGAAUCUGCACAGUUGUGUUUUACGUGCACAAGUAAGCCCAAGUACAA